GAUGAACGCUGGCGGCGUGCUUAAUACAUGCAGGUCGAGCGAACGGACGAGAAGCUUGCUUCUCUGUUGUUAGCGGCGGACGGGUGAGUAACACGUGGAUAACCUACCUAUAAGGCUGGGAUAACUUCGGGAAACCGGAGCUAAUCCCGGAUAAUAUUUUGAACCGCAUGGUUCAAAAGUGAAAGACGGUCUUGCUGUCACUUAUAGAUGGAUCCGCGCUGCAUUAGCUAGUUGGUAAGGUAACGGCUUACCAAGGCAACGAUGCAUAGCCGACCUGAGAGAGUGAUCGGCCACACUGGAACUGAGACACGGUCCAGACUCCUACGGGAGGCAGCAGUAUGGAAUCUUCCGCAAUGGGCGAAAGCCUGACGGAGCAACGCCGCGUGAGUGAUGAAGGUCUUCGGAUCGUAAAACUCUGUUAUUAGGGAAGAACAUAUGUGUAAGUAACUGUGCACAUCUUGACGGUACCUAAUCAGAAAGCCACGGCUAACUACGUG
RNAcentral lists this ribosomal RNA (497 nucleotides) under uncultured bacterium. Its description in RNAcentral is "partial 16S ribosomal RNA". It matches the Rfam family "Bacterial small subunit ribosomal RNA", at positions 28 to 507 of the family's 1533-position model. The record is from RNAcentral.